Molecule: ribosomal RNA, 87 nt
Filed under: Timarcha nicaeensis
Lineage: Eukaryota; Metazoa; Arthropoda; Insecta; Coleoptera; Chrysomelidae
Description: partial 5.8S ribosomal RNA
Source: RNAcentral
CUGCAGGACACAUGAACAUCGACAUUUCGAACGCACAUUGCGGUCCUCGGAUACUGUUCCCGGACCACUCCUGGCUGAGGGUCGUAU